UUUGGGACGAUGGAAGAACGAAGCCAGCUGCGAGACUUGGUGUGAAUUCCAGGCCCCAUUGACCACUGAUUUUUCGAACGCCCAUUCCGCCCUCGGUUCCUACCCGGGGCCACGUCUGUCUGAGG
Molecule: ribosomal RNA, 125 nt
Filed under: Oxyopes shweta
Lineage: Eukaryota; Metazoa; Arthropoda; Arachnida; Araneae; Oxyopidae
Description: partial 5.8S ribosomal RNA
Rfam family: 5.8S ribosomal RNA
About the family: 5.8S ribosomal RNA (5.8S rRNA) is a component of the large subunit of the eukaryotic ribosome. It is transcribed by RNA polymerase I as part of the 45S precursor that also contains 18S and 28S rRNA. Functionally, it is thought that 5.8S rRNA may be involved in ribosome translocation.
Source: RNAcentral